This 497-nucleotide ribosomal RNA is filed under the name uncultured bacterium. RNAcentral describes it as "partial 16S ribosomal RNA". It matches the Rfam family "Bacterial small subunit ribosomal RNA", at positions 28 to 507 of the family's 1533-position model. The record is from RNAcentral.
GAUGAACGCUGGCGGCGUGCCUAAUACAUGCAAGUCGAGCGAACGGACGAGAAGCUUGCUUUUCUGAUGUUAGCGGCGGACGGGUGAGUAACACGUGGAUAACCUACCUAUAAGACUGGGAUAACUUCGGGAAACCGGAGCUAAUACCGGAUAAUAUUUUGAACCGCAUGGUUCAAAAGUGAAAGACGGUCUUGCUGUCACUUAUAGAUGGAUCCGCGCUGCAUUAGCUAGUUGGUAAGGUAACGGCUUACCAAGGCAACGAUGCAUAGCCGACCUGAGAGGGUGAUCGGCCACACUGGAACUGAGACACGGUCCAGACUCCUACGGGAGGCAGCAGUAGGGAAUCUUCCGCAAUGGGCGAAAGCCUGACGGAGCAACGCCGCGUGAGUGAUGAAGGUCUUCGGAUCGUAAAACUCUGCUAUUAGGGAAGAACAUAUGUGUAAGUAACUGUGCACAUCUUGACGGUACCUAAUCAGAAAGCCGCGGCUAACUACGUG